Non-coding RNA from Podarcis lilfordi (Lilford's wall lizard), 71 nucleotides. The record is from the annotation of a GenBank genome assembly. NCBI's taxonomy places the organism in Eukaryota, Metazoa, Chordata, Lepidosauria, Squamata, Lacertidae.
GGGCCAUAGCUUAGUGGUAGAGCACCUCAUCUGCACACAAAAGGAUCUAGGUUCAAUUCAUGGCAUCUCCA